Molecule: ribosomal RNA, 515 nt
Filed under: uncultured bacterium
Lineage: Bacteria
Description: partial 16S ribosomal RNA
Rfam family: Bacterial small subunit ribosomal RNA
Source: RNAcentral
GAUGAACGCUGGCGGCGUGCCUAAUACAUGCAAGUCGAGCGAAUGGAUUAAGAGCUUGCUCUUAUGAAGUUAGCGGCGGACGGGUGAGUAACACGUGGGUAACCUGCCCAUAAGACUGGGAUAACUCCGGGAAACCGGGGCUAAUACCGGAUAACAUUUUGAACCGCAUGGUUCGAAAUUGAAAGGCGGCUUCGGCUGUCACUUAUGGAUGGACCCGCGUCGCAUUAGCUAGUUGGUGAGGUAACGGCUCACCAAGGCAACGAUGCGUAGCCGACCUGAGGGGGUGAUCGGCAACACUGGGACUGAGACACGGCCCAGACUCCUUCGGGAGGCAGCAGUAGGGAAUCUUCCGCAAUGGACGAAAGUCUGACGGAGCAACGCCGCGUGAGUGAUGAAGGCUUUCGGGUCGUAAAACUCUGUUGUUAGGGAAGAACAAGUGCUAGUUGAAUAAGCUGGCACCUUGACGGUACCUAACCAGAAAGCCACGGCUAACUACGUGCCAGCCGCCGCCGUAA